CUUGCUGGGACAGGCGUGCUGCCGAGGAGGCGCAACCACCAAGCACAGAUUAUUCUUCUUUGACUAAUGUCGUGUCCAAAAAUGCUGAAAACAGUCCACAUCAGGUCCACACGACGUAACAACACCAUGUGACAAAACAAAAACA
Long non-coding RNA from Hippocampus comes (tiger tail seahorse), 145 nucleotides. RefSeq lists it as uncharacterized. The record is from RefSeq and is a predicted model, not a curated record. NCBI's taxonomy places the organism in Eukaryota, Metazoa, Chordata, Actinopteri, Syngnathiformes, Syngnathidae. The transcript has 3 exons.